ACAGAAAUGUUUCAUUGUUCAACUCUCUAGAGAACUCCCAGACCACGUCCUCACACCGUCACCAUCGAUCCCUCCCAAGUUCCCAACCAUCCGCCGCCGCCACUGAUCGGCUGCCCAUCACAUCCGCCGCCGCCACCGAUCAGCGGUUGCAACUCGACAGGGCUGCCACAUCCUGCUCCCUAGGGCCACCACAUAUGUCACACCCAGACGGACACACCACGCCCACUCGCAGAUCCGGCGGCGGCCCGCCGCCACCCACCCUACUGCAUCCUUCACCGUCCCCCAUCCGCAAUCGCAGCCUGCUAGCCGCCAGGACAGGGCCGCCACAUCUCGCCAGAGCAGAGCCGCCACACAUGGACUGUGUUGCUAGGACCGCCACAUCUCGCUGGUGCAUGGCCAUCGCAUCCGUGGCUCACAUGCCAGUAUGAAGGGACAAUGGCGAUGGGAUAGCAGAGCGGGGUGGCAUGCUUGCAGUACCUCCUCGACGCCGCCUACGAUGCCAGCUUCAACUUCUUUUGACUCCACAGAAUUGAUACAAUGGAAGCACUUGUGACUGAGACUAGAAUAGAAGGGAAAGAAUCUAAGACCUCUAUAGAAGCAAUUGCUCAAGUAUUGGCUUCAUCAAGAUAUCUUCAAAAUGUUCUUGUAGCUGCAAUAAAGAGAAGCGGGAAUGGUGGUGAUGCUACAUGCGUAGAAGUAGAAAUGUUGGUCUUGUAGCUCCAAGAGUUGCUCAAGUAUUUGCUUCAUCAAUUUUUUUUUCAAAAUGUUGUUCUUGUAGCUGCAACAAAGAGAAACUGCAAUGGUGGUGAUGCUAAAUGUUGGUAUUGUAGCUCCAAGAUUUGGUUUUUGAUGAAUGAUAUCUAUGAUAAUACGUUGCUAAGUAUAUGUGAUGAUCAAUCAUUGUUGUUUA
Molecule: long non-coding RNA, 910 nt
Organism: Zea mays
Lineage: Eukaryota; Viridiplantae; Streptophyta; Magnoliopsida; Poales; Poaceae
Exons: 3
Source: RefSeq, a predicted model, not a curated record